This 478-nucleotide ribosomal RNA is filed under the name uncultured bacterium. RNAcentral describes it as "partial 16S ribosomal RNA". It matches the Rfam family "Bacterial small subunit ribosomal RNA", at positions 30 to 523 of the family's 1533-position model. The record is from RNAcentral.
AUUGAACGCUGGCGGCAGGCUUAACACAUGCAAGUCGAGCGAUGAAGCUCCUUCGGGAGUGGAUUAGCGGCGGACGGGUGAGUAACACGUGGGUAACCUGCCUCAUAGAGGGGAAUAGCCUUCCGAAAGGAAGAUUAAUACCGCAUAAGAUUGUAGUACCGCAUGGUACAGCAAUUAAAGGAGUAAUCCGCUAUGAGAUGGACCCGCGUCGCAUUAGCUAGUUGGUGAGGUAACGGCUCACCAAGGCGACGAUGCGUAGCCGACCUGAGAGGGUGAUCGGCCACAUUGGGACUGAGACACGGCCCAGACUCCUACGGGAGGCAGCAGUGGGGAAUAUUGCACAAUGGGGGAAACCCUGAUGCAGCAACGCCGCGUGAGUGAUGACGGUCCUCGGAUUGUAAAACUCUGUCUUCAGGGACGAUAAUGACGGUACCUGAGGAAGAAGCCACGGCUAACUACGUGCCAGCAGCCGCCGUAA